UACGGGGGGUGCAAGCGUUGAUCGGAUUGACUGGGCGUAAAGGGAGCGUAGGCGGUCUGAUAAGUCAGUUGUGAAAUUCCGGGGCUCAACCCCGGAGCUGCGACUGAAACUAUUAGACUAGAGGGUAGUAGGGGAAAACAGAAUUCUGCAUGUAGCGGUGAAAUGCGUAGAUAUGCAGAGGAAUACCGGUGGCGAAGGCGGUUUUCUGUACUAUACCUGACGCUGAGGCUCGAAAGUGUGGGGAGCAAACAGG
RNAcentral lists this ribosomal RNA (253 nucleotides) under uncultured prokaryote. RNAcentral's name for it is "partial 16S ribosomal RNA". It matches the Rfam family "Bacterial small subunit ribosomal RNA", at positions 524 to 776 of the family's 1533-position model. The record is from RNAcentral.